CGGCAACAGCUCAGAUUUGAAAUCGGCCCCCCGGCCGAGUUGUAAUCUGUAGAGGAUGCUUCUGGGCAGCGGCCGGUCUAAGUUCCUUGGAACAGGACGUCACAGAGGGUGAGAAUCCCGUAUGUGAUCGGCGCGCACCCUCCACGUAGCUCCUUCGAC
This 159-nucleotide ribosomal RNA is filed under the name Passalora sp. RNAcentral describes it as "partial large subunit ribosomal RNA". It matches the Rfam family "Eukaryotic large subunit ribosomal RNA", at positions 99 to 261 of the family's 3401-position model. The record is from RNAcentral. Lineage: Eukaryota; Fungi; Ascomycota; Dothideomycetes; Mycosphaerellales; Mycosphaerellaceae.